This 477-nucleotide ribosomal RNA is filed under the name uncultured bacterium. RNAcentral's name for it is "partial 16S ribosomal RNA". It matches the Rfam family "Bacterial small subunit ribosomal RNA", at positions 28 to 523 of the family's 1533-position model. The record is from RNAcentral.
GACGAACGCUGGCGGCGUGCUUAACACAUGCAAGUCGAUCGGUAAGGCCCUUCGGGGUACACGAGUGGCGAACGGGUGAGUAACACGUGGGUGAUCUGCCCUGCACUUCGGGAUAAGCUGGGAAACUGGGUCUAAUACCGGAUAGGACCACUGCCUGCAUGGGUGGUGGUGGAAAGCUUUUGCGGUGUGGGAUGGGCCCGCGGCCUAUCAGCUUGUUGGUGGGGUGAUGGCCUACCAAGGCGACGACGGGUAGCCGGCCUGAGAGGGUGACCGGCCACACUGGGACUGGUGUACGGCCCAGACUCCUACGGGAGGCAGCAGUGGGGAAUAUUGCACAAUGGGCGCAAGCCUGAUGCAGCGACGCCGCGUGAGGGAGGACGGCCUUCGGGUUGUAAACCUCUUUCAGCACCGACGAAGCGCAAGUGACGGUAGGUGCAGAAGAAGGACCGGCCAACUACGUGCCAGCCGCCGCCGUAA